Molecule: ribosomal RNA, 989 nt
Filed under: human gut metagenome
Description: bacterial LSU rRNA
Rfam family: Bacterial large subunit ribosomal RNA
Source: RNAcentral
AACUAUAACGGUCCUAAGGUAGCGAAAUUCCUUGUCAGGUAAGUUCUGACCCGCACGAAAGGCGUAACGAUUUGGGCGCUGUCUCAGCUGUAGACUCGGUGAAGUCUUAGUACCUGUGAAGAUGCAGGUUACCCGCGACUAGACGGAAAGACCCCAUGGAGCUUCACUGCAGGUUGAUAUUGGGAUUUGAUGCAGCAUGUACAGGAUAGGUAGGAGGCAAAGAGAUGGAUACGCCAGUAUUCAAGGAGCCGCUGUUGGGAUACUACCCCUGUUGUAUUGGAUUUCUAACCGGACGACGUAGAACCGUUGACGGGACAGUGUCAGUCGGGCAGUUUGACUGGGGCGGUCGCCUCCCAAAGAGUAACGGAGGCGCCCAAAGAUACCCUCAGCUUGGAUGGAAACCAAGCGCAGAGUGCAAAGGCAAAAGGGUGUUUGACUGCGAGACCCACAAGUCGAGCAGGGACGAAAGUCGGGCUUAGUGAUCCGGCGGUGCUGAAUGGAAAGGCCGUCGCUCAACGGAUAAAAGCUACCCUGGGGAUAACAGGCUGAUCUCCCCCAAGAGUCCACAUCGACGGGGAGGUUUGGCACCUCGAUGUCGGCUCAUCGCAUCCUGGGGCUGAAGUCGGUUCCAAGGGUUGGGCUGUUCGCCCAUUAAAGCGGUACGCGAGCUGGGUUCAGAACGUCGUGAGACAGUUCGGUCCCUAUCUGUCGUGGGCGCAGGAAAUUUGAGAAGAGCUGUCCUCAGUACGAGAGGACCGGGAUGGACGCAUCAAUGGUGGACCAGUUGUCACGCCAGUGGCAUAGCUGGGUAGCUAAAUGCGGAAGGGAUAAACGCUGAAGGCAUCUAAGUGUGAAACCCACUUCAAGAUGAGAUUUCCCAUUGCGCAAGCAAGUAAGACCCCUUAAAGACGAUAAGGUAGAUAGGUCAGGAGUGUAAGCAUGGUGACAUGUUAAGCGGACUGAUACUAAUAGGUCGAGGGCUUGACCGA